AAUCCAUGUUUCCUAUGGAACACAGAUUAUCUGCCAAAUCACUCUGUGAGACAGGAUAUGAAAGUAGAGGAAAGGAGUAUACGUGUGGUUCCUAACAGUCAAAGCAUAUUAAUAUUUAUUGACACAUUUGGCUCUUACCUGUGAGAGAGCAAAGGUAUGAAAAUGCAGAAGAGGAAAAUAAAUUAUCUUCGACUUCAGGCAAUAUAAGACCAGGGGUUUAGGUCUGUUUUUGCACUGAUACAUCACAACCAAACAGAAAACUUCCUGGCAAAGAGCAAAUGCUCGAAAACAUUUUUGUACAAAACCAAAUUCAGUCAUUAUAAUUUUACUUAGCUUUAAAUUUAUUUAACAAAUUAUAUGAAAUUCAUGUAAUUGAUAAAAACAUGAGCAGCAGAAAAAAAAAUCUCCCUAAAGAUGUCUAUCCAGAUGCCUCUAGAAGGUCAAACUAUUGUUCGCAUAAACUACACUGGUUACUUAUUCAAUAUUCAUCAAGAACCUCUUAUGUGCCAAACUGUGCAAAUGCUGGAUUAAAAUGCAGAGUGUGUUACAUGCAGAGGCUACUCUCAAGGAAGUUAUGGUUUGAUAGAGGGGAUAUGGACAAGUA
Long non-coding RNA from Lutra lutra (Eurasian river otter), 604 nucleotides. RefSeq lists it as uncharacterized. The record is from RefSeq and is a predicted model, not a curated record. Lineage: Eukaryota; Metazoa; Chordata; Mammalia; Carnivora; Mustelidae. The transcript has 3 exons.